AUGUUGUGGGGAAUCUAAAUGAUAAUGCGAUUAGCAAAAUGGUAGAGACAGGGGAAAGGAUUAAAGUGGGUGGUGUUAAUGAGAAAUUGGAGGAAAAUCAAAAUGUUGAUGCGAGUGAUAAUUCAAGGGGAAGGAAGAGAUGUGGAAGGAGACAUGGAGGAGAGGUGAAGAUGCUGUUGUCACUGAGAAAUUGAAAACCCCAAAUCGGAGCAGUAAUUAAAGGGAAAGGAGAAGGUAUAGCAGAGAAGAGAAAGGAAAA
This 259-nucleotide unclassified non-coding RNA is filed under the name Hevea brasiliensis (rubber tree). Lineage: Eukaryota; Viridiplantae; Streptophyta; Magnoliopsida; Malpighiales; Euphorbiaceae. The record is from RNAcentral.